RNAcentral lists this ribosomal RNA (497 nucleotides) under uncultured bacterium. RNAcentral's name for it is "partial 16S ribosomal RNA". It matches the Rfam family "Bacterial small subunit ribosomal RNA", at positions 28 to 507 of the family's 1533-position model. The record is from RNAcentral.
GAUGAACGCUGGCGGCGUGCCUAAUACAUGCAAGUCGAACGAACAGAUCAGGAGCUUGCUCCUCUGACGUUAGCGGCGGACGGGUGAGUAACACGUGGAUAACCUACCUAUAAGACUGGGAUAACUUCGGGAAACCGGAGCUAAUACCGGAUAAUAUAUUGACCCGCAUGGUUCAAUAGUUAAAGACGUUUUUUCUGUCACUUAUAGAUGGAUCCGCGCCGCAUUAGCUAGUUGGUAAGGUAACGGCAUACCAAGGCAACGAUGUGUAGCCGACCUGAGAGGGUGAUCGGCCACACUGGAACUGAGACAGGGUCCAGACUCCGACGGGAGGCAGCAGCAGGGAAUCUUCCGCAAUGGGCGAAAGCGUGACGGAGCAACGCCGAGGGAGUGAUGAAGGUCUCCGGAUCGUAAAACUCUGUUAUUAGGGAAGAAGAAAUGUGUAAGUAACUAUGCACGUGUUGACGGUACCUAAUCAGAAAGCCACGGCUAACUACGUG